This is a non-coding RNA of Trichonephila clavipes, 73 nucleotides long. The record is from the annotation of a GenBank genome assembly. Lineage: Eukaryota; Metazoa; Arthropoda; Arachnida; Araneae; Nephilidae.
AUCCCGGUAGCACAAUGGAUAGCGCGUUGAACAUCUAAUUCCAGGUUCGUAGGUUCGAAUCCCACCUGGGAUG